Long non-coding RNA from Cannabis sativa, 1575 nucleotides. RefSeq lists it as uncharacterized. Lineage: Eukaryota; Viridiplantae; Streptophyta; Magnoliopsida; Rosales; Cannabaceae. The transcript has 2 exons. The record is from RefSeq and is a predicted model, not a curated record.
GUUUUAUUAGAGAAGUUGAUUGGACGUGGGAUGUGACAAAAGUGACACAUUCUUUACUUUUUUUUUUUUAAUUUUAUUCUUUAUUAUUUUUUAAUAUUUAAUAAUUAUUAUAUAAAUUUCACUUUCCAAUAUCUUACUACUCAUCUUCUUAUUCUAUUUUUUUUUUCAACCAGAAACUUCUCCAACCCUUCAAGGGCUUCAAUUAAAUCCUUGUUCUCUCCUUCUCUUUCCACUUGAUUUGAAGUUAGAAGAGGGAUUUGCAUUGUUUGGCUCUCUGUUUUCACAUGAGGCUAGGCGAUGAGUUAGAGCUUUAGUUAAGGUCAAUGAUUGAGUAUAUUAUAUAUUAUAUAGAUAUAUAGUUGUUUUGGAGCAUAAAUGGCUACAACCCAGUUGAGAUCUUGAAGCUAAUUUUCGAAAGUGGGAGUUGAGAAACGACAAAGAUUUUAUGAUUUUUUCCUCGUGUUUCUAUUAUUCCGGUGUUGAUUUGUCCGUCCCCAACCACGAAGGAGAGGUGCCGUUUAUGUUUUGUUAUUGUUUACAGUAUAAAAGUAAAUAUAUUGAGCCUGGGCAGUAUAAAAGAAAAAACAAUGGGCUUGGACAGUAAAAAUAUAAAGUUUGCCGUGUCUCAGUAUUUUUGAAAACAUUUGGUAAAAAAAGCAAUAUUUUGUAAGUUUCCCUAAUAAUAUUUAAGUCAAUAAUGUAUAUAACUAUGAUAGCAGACUCAUAACCUUGUCUUCUUAUGAAAACUAUAAGCAAAUAGGAUUGUUAUUAUUUUCAUUUUUUAGCAAAUAUUUGCUAACUCUAUUGUACUACAUGUAAUUGUUUUAAUCCAUUUAAUAGAGGACAUUUCCUAAUGACUUGAACUAUAAUUAGACAUCUUAAACCAUUAUCUAGUUUUUCAUGAACAGCUAGACAAACCAAAUAUUAUAAUGCACUAGAAAGAAUGUCUCUUCAUACUCAAUAUCUAAUAAUUGAACAAAUCCUUGUGCAGAGACAUUCUCACUGAAAUCGCAACAAUCCAAGCAGAUCGAUAUCAAAGUGAACCACAAGAUCUUAUCCAAUUUGCCUUCUUUGUGUCUGAGCCCUGCUAAAACAUUGAAUUUUGAUGAAAAUUUAGAUUUAAAUUGAUUGAUGUUUAGAGUAAUUGGUAAUGUGAAAGAAAGUAAUAUUUACUUGUAGAUGAGAUUUGAGGUGAGUGAAUCCACUUUCAUUUGGCUCUUAACGACUUUGGUUGAAGCAAUGUGUUUGAUUAUUUCAAACUAUGUUAAGUAAAAUUAGUUAAAAAAACAAAAAGAACAUGCCUAUAAAUAAUUAUAAUUUGAUAAAAAAGAAUGAAAGAUAGUAACAAAACGGAAUAAGGCAUUGGCAAAUUGAAAAAACUGCCAGACGCAUUUCCCAUUGCCAAUAAAACGACCGACUGUACAGUUUAUAAACAUGUUUGUAUUAACUCAAAACUCUCAAUUAUCUCAUAUUCCUUCCACCUUUGCUACCCAAUUCCUCCCAUAAACCUUUCUUUAUAGCAGAGUAACUAUACAUAUAAUCUUGUCUCACUACUUUGAAAACACUUGGUUAUUA